AUGAGAUCACUAAGGAUGACCAUUCUGAGACUUGCAAUAUGGUGCCCACACUCUCAAAGAAAAAUACAUCAGCCCUGUAUGAUCCCUGAACUGGGUCCUAUAGAAACCUGGAAGCUCCAAACCUUGCCCCUGCUUGUGCCCAACAUUUAUUCCUGGUCUCAUGAAACCUGGAUCCACAGGUGGUGCUGGUACCAGACCUACGCAAUGCAGCGGCCACCUCAGCUGUGGAUAGUGAGACGGGCAGCCCCAGACAGCAACAAAACUGGCUGGCUGACGAGGAACCCAGUGAGCAGAGCUAUGCUUGGGAGUGCAGUAAAGGGUAACGAAGGAUGCAGCUGCUCCUUUGUUGCUUCCCCUCUGCCUUGCAGGUGGGCAUUCAGGCACAGACGGAACCAGAAAAGGAAAGAUGACCGUUCUCAGCACUGCAAAGUGGUGACCACACUGAAAGACAGAUAUCCAUGUUGAGAGAGCAAAUGAAGUCCAAGAAGAGGCACACAUGACAAGCGACACAAUGAAACAGGAUUAAAGCACUGGUUGCACUUGAGUGAAAGAUUAAGUCAAAUGUUUUCUGAAAUAGAUCAUUACUCCAAAAUACAAAUUCAAUUUUCUGAGAGUAUGGCUACCAGUCAAUAUAUUUAGCUGACAGGAGGUUAAUCACAGAUUUUGUUUUCAAGACUUAAAAAUCUAACAGUAACAUUAUCAAAAGCGAUGGUACUAAUUUUGAUAGAUUUAAAACUAGCUCCAAAUAAACUUGCUAUGUAAAUACA
Molecule: long non-coding RNA, 767 nt
Filed under: Numida meleagris (helmeted guineafowl)
Lineage: Eukaryota; Metazoa; Chordata; Aves; Galliformes; Numididae
Description: lncRNA (ENSNMEG00000022219.1)
Source: RNAcentral